UCUUUCGGGUGGCGAGNGGCGGACGGGUGAGGAAUACAUCGGAAUCUACUUGUCGUGGGGGAUAACGUAGGGAAACUUACGCUAAUCCCGCAUACGACUUACGGGUGAAAAGCAGGGGNUCUUCGGNCCUUGCGCGAUUGAAUGAGCCGAUGUCGGAUUAGAUAGUUGGCGGGGUAAAGGCCCACCAAGGCGACGAUCCGUAGCUGGUCUGAGAGGAUGAUCAGCCACACUGGAACUGAGACACGGUCCAGACUCCUACGGGAGGCAGCAGUGGGGAAUAUUGGACAAUGGGCGCAAGCCUGAUCCAGCCAUACCGCGUGGGUGAAGAAGGCCUUCGGGUUGUAAAGCCCUUUUGUUGGGAAAGAAAUCCAGCNGGUUAAUACCCGGUUGGGAUGACGGUACCCAAAGAAUAAGCACCGGCUAACUUCGUGCCAGCAGCCGCGGUAAUACGAAGGGUGCAAGCGUUACUCGGAAUUACUGGGCGUAAAGCGUGCGUAGGUGGUNGUUUAAGUCCGUUGUGAAANCCCUGGGCUCAACCUGGGAACUGCAGUGGAUACUGGGCGUCUAGAGUGUGGUAGAGGGUAGCGGAAUUCCUGGUGUAGCAGUGAAAUGCGUAGAGAUCAGGAGGAACAUCCCAUGGCGAAGGCAGCUNCCUGGACCAACACUGACUCUGAGGCACAAAGCGUGGAGCANC
RNAcentral lists this ribosomal RNA (694 nucleotides) under Stenotrophomonas maltophilia. RNAcentral's name for it is "bacterial SSU rRNA". It matches the Rfam family "Bacterial small subunit ribosomal RNA", at positions 80 to 769 of the family's 1533-position model. Lineage: Bacteria; Pseudomonadati; Pseudomonadota; Gammaproteobacteria; Lysobacterales; Lysobacteraceae. The record is from RNAcentral.